RNAcentral lists this ribosomal RNA (204 nucleotides) under uncultured bacterium. RNAcentral describes it as "partial 16S small subunit ribosomal RNA". It matches the Rfam family "Bacterial small subunit ribosomal RNA", at positions 56 to 259 of the family's 1533-position model. The record is from RNAcentral.
UGCAAGUCGAGCGGAACGAUUCUAGCUUGCUAGAAGGCGUCGAGCGGCGGACGGGUGAGUAAUGCAUGGGAAUCUGCCCGAUAGUGGGGGACAACCUGGGGAAACUCAGGCUAAUACCGCAUACGUCCUACGGGAGAAAGCAGGGGAUCUUCGGACCUUGCNCUAUCNGAUGANCCCNUGUCNGAUUANCUUGUUGGUGAGGUG